Long non-coding RNA from Homo sapiens (human), 501 nucleotides. NCBI's taxonomy places the organism in Eukaryota, Metazoa, Chordata, Mammalia, Primates, Hominidae. The record is from Ensembl.
AUGAAAACAGGAAGGAGACACGGGCGAGUCAGCUCCACUGAAAGUCUGUAGCUGUGACUUUCUGGUUUGCCACUCCAAUUUGAGUACUAAUUAAGUGGUAGUCACAUCUGCAACAUAAAAACCAAAAUAAUGGCAUCCUCGUGGAAGGAAUUUUGUCAGAAAAGUGCUGUGUACUUUGCUGUCUUCCUAGGAUUUGUUCUGUUUUUGUUUGUUUGUUUUUUUUAAUGGUUCCACAGGCUGCAUAGGAAUACAAGCUAACCAAUAUUUUAAUUACAGAUCAUUAAGCAGCUUUGAGUCUGGAAAAUUUGUCAAAUGUACCGAGCAAUUAGAAUUGUUACCAGGAGAAAAUAUCAAUCUACUUGCUGGAGGAUCAAAAGAAAAAAUAGACAUGAAAAAACUGCUUCGUAACAUGUGAAGUCCAGAUCCAAGGGAACCUCAGAAAUCCAUUGAAGUUCCAUUGUUAAGAAGUUCUGUUUGUUUGGCAACUGCUUUAAACCCGAU